RNAcentral lists this transfer RNA (85 nucleotides) under Apiotrichum porosum. Its description in RNAcentral is "Trichosporon porosum tRNA". It matches the Rfam family "tRNA". Rfam says of the family: Transfer RNA (tRNA) molecules are approximately 80 nucleotides in length. Their secondary structure includes four short double-helical elements and three loops (D, anti-codon, and T loops). Lineage: Eukaryota; Fungi; Basidiomycota; Tremellomycetes; Trichosporonales; Trichosporonaceae. The record is from Rfam by way of RNAcentral.
GGUCGCGUGGCCAAAUGGUACGGCGUUUGACUACGAUUCAUCUUCGUGUAUCAAGAGAUCGCGGGUUCGAUCCCCGUCGUGACCU